Long non-coding RNA from Xenopus laevis (African clawed frog), 5244 nucleotides. RefSeq lists it as uncharacterized. NCBI's taxonomy places the organism in Eukaryota, Metazoa, Chordata, Amphibia, Anura, Pipidae. The transcript has 13 exons. The record is from RefSeq and is a predicted model, not a curated record.
CUUCCGCCAGGCGUCUCAGUUUAAAGGAGGAGCUUUGUUCGCUCCUGCCUUCGUUUUCAUUGGCAGAGUCCGGAGCGCGUCUCGUUGUCAUGGUAACCAACCAGCUUUGCUUACACGGGAAAAGAAUCAUGGCUGCAAUGUCCCGGGGCUGUGACCCUGUGGGCCGCCUACUGGUGCAGGGGCAGAUACAUGUGUGGUAGAAAGAAAUAGCCGACAUUUUCUUCUGCAUGGACACCCGUACAAAGAAAGAAGAAGCCGGUGCAGUUUUCUGACGAUAGGCAUAUCAGCCCAGGGUGUCAGAAAAUGUGAGCGCCGUGAGGAGGGAUGGGGGCGGCAGUGGAAGGCCUCCUAAGGCGGCAUAAAGGAGUGGAUCGGCUGACUAAGCAGGAAAAAGUUAAGGUUCAAGAUGAUCUGGAACACGUGAAAAGGAACCUGACUAACACUAGCCUUAGGGAGGAUGGAGAGGGUGUGGAUAUUCAGGAUUUGAAGGCCGCAAUUCAAAGAACAGAGGUCGGACUGAGGAGCCAGGCACUGGUGUUCCAUUUGCCAAAGCCAAAGGUUAUGUGAGGAAGAGAAGGUAAUAUAUGUAGCUAACGUCCAUAUGCAUGCCUAGCAUUCCUCCAGAUCUCAUCUUGCUUGUGCUCCCCUCCUCCUGCUGAAAUUCCCGGAUACCUGCUUAAAAAUCCAUAUCCCAGGAGUGAACACACGCACCUCGCUACUUAUUUGGAAGUAAGUGCUGCUUUGCCAGCUGUUCCAUUUGCUUAGCACGAUGGUAGGAACACUGUUAUUAUUAACUAGUUGUCGUUUCCAGCUGGGAAAUUGCCACCUAUAAUUUACCACUUUCUAUCCUUCAAACAAGGUAAGCUUCAGUUGGCACAAUAAAACCUAAAAUACAUUUGUAAAGUGUUGCAGCUGUUGGUAUAGACUUAAGUCCUUGCGUCAUAAUGGCCACAACCACUCUUUUGUGUUAACUUAUUCUUCCAAGUACCUUAUUUGCUAACAACAGAAAUUUUUUUAAAGAAUUUUAUUGUAAAAUGGCAAAUGGGAAGAUGGUACCACUGUGGUGUCCAAACUGAUUCCUGUGCAUGAGGAAGUGCAUUGUCUAUGAUUGAUAAUAAUGCUGUCCCAAAUGCCAUAGGCAGCAGGCUUCUUAUUUAUAGGAAUGGUAAAAGGCUGCAGGCAAGGAAAAGUGUUUGAUGAUUGUCACAAAGUGCAGUGAUGUGACAUUUUGAGAGCUAUGGAUUUUAUUUUUCUUUCAGUACCAAAACAUUUCCUUUAAACUCACACUUUCCUAAUAUGUAUAGUAACAUGUUUUCAUAGGCUGGAAUAUUUUACUGUUUGCAUAUGUACUACAAUCUAUGGAAGGUUUACACAGCUUCCAGUUCAUCCCCAUAGAAAGCAGCCUGCUAUGCCAUGUGCUGCAUGUUCUCUUUGGGUGCUUACAGCAUUUUAGGGGCAUUCUUGUUGCAGCUUUUGAUUUCAAGUAAUACUGAUAUGUUUCUACCUAUUAGAGUAAUGUGUCAGUAUCUCUUUAAAUGGCCAUAUGGGCUGAUUUAUCAUUAAUCUUUAUAAUAUUUAUUUAUAAAAUAGGAAUAAGUAUUUGAAAACAUGUCUGUAUCAUAGGAUUUGGGCAUCUACAUCAGAACUUACAUUACAGACAAACAAACAGACAUUAUAUUAAAAACCUUGUUUAAAAGUCUCAGCUGUCAAUCAUAUUAUACUUGCCCCUCCUGUGGGACAGGCAAUUACUUUCACUUUCCAAUCAGCACUUCCUAGAUGUCAUUGCACUCCUUCAUCCCUCCCUUCAUCUUCAUUGUGUAGCCAGUGCUUGGGCAUUCUGAUGCAUAAACAAGAUUUUGGCAUGAUGCAAAGCUUGCCUUUAUAAAAGUGUCGACAAAAUGGUGACUGCCUGUAUGAUGUGAUUGUGAAUUCCAAGACUAAAAUAAUCAAGAUUUAAAUACUUGAAAUACCGUAAGUGAAGUUUAUUUUGCUUGAUUAACAUCAUUACAUAGGAGUUUUAAUUAUUUCUUACUUCUGAUGGGAUUAUGCUGCCCAAUAUAUAAGUCUUAGUGCAGACUAAAACAUAUCUUAUAUAUACCAUAAAUAUUUAUAUAAUAUAAGUAUGGUUUCCUUCAUUUUUUACCAAUAUAUCCAGGAAUACUUAUGGUUCUUUAUACUGAUUAAUACCACUUAGAGUUGCUAUAUGUGUUACUUUGACAAGGAAAUAUAGCACCAAGACAGUAAGGGGUUCUGCUGCAGCCUGAUUCUAAAUGAUGGGCAAGUUUGGGGACGUGUUGAGGGCAGGUGGGAAGCACCUAUAUGCCUCUCACUCCUUUCCUUCAUGAAUACAGUGCUGCCGAAUACAGGCAGUAUUGUAUUAAUGGGGUGGCCAUAUCAUGAAAGAUGCACAAAAAUGGUGGAUUGCACUGCUUUUUGCAUUUUGCACCCUGCCUUCCACACUGUUAUUGGUCCCUACCAACAAAAAUAGUAGAAUGCUAAUUUGGAUUUACCAAGCAAUAACCUUUUAAUAAAGCGACUCUCGGAAAUGAAAGACCCUAGUUUUACAGAGCUAUAAUUGCAUCUGUAACCACGGCUAUAUAAUGAUCAUUCAAAGGGACAACUUAGAUUAAACUAACUUAAAAUAGCUAAACUAUUCUUGAAGGAGAUAUACACCAAAAAAUGUUCUUGCAUAAUUAAAGAAAAUGUAAUUCUAAGCAACUUUUCAAUGCACAGCAAUUAAAAUUGAAUUCAAUAGUUUCAAUGGUUUUUAAAGGUAUUUGCAAAUGUAAUUGUUAUUGAAAGCGGUAUUUGUUUAUCCCUUUCUGUUUUCUGGGUCUGACCCUUGAAACAAUGUGUCGGUCAGUUCACCCCAUAAGUCUUUUAAUCAGCUAGCUUCUGCUACAUUGUUUUAAGAGAACCUAAAUUACAGAGAAGGUUAACUUCCAGACAGAAAUUGUUUUCAAUCUGAGUUACAUUUACAAAUAUAUUUAAAACAAUUGACAAACCCUAUUCGUUGCAAUAAUAUUGAAAUUAGGGGGUAUUCUUGCAUCCUGAGUCAAUGCCAUGUGCUGCCUUGACUUUGAUAAACAGUUUUUUGUUCCAUUUUGGGAAAAAACUGUCAACUAUAAAACCAAUCUGAUUACUUACACUCUGAAUGAUGCCAAACACACAACUUGCCAGUCCAAUGUAAGUGUUUGAAUGGAGCUAAAACAAAAAAUAAACAAUGUUUGCGUAUUUAUAAAAGUUUUUCGAUUGUGCCAAGGAAUACAAAAUCUGCCAGCCUGUCAGCAGAACACAAAGAAAUGGGACUUGAUGACUUGGCUGUCACUCACUGGGAAGCACAAGUUGUUCCUGAACAAUCGCAUCAUGUGAAAUCCUGAAAGCGUGGCACACCAGGAGCUGCUCAACCAGAGCCUUGGGAUCAGUUUGCCGCUCUUCAGCACCAGGUAGAAAACAUCUGGGAGAAAAAAAGAACAUCACAAUAGAAGAGGAAAAAAACAAUCCAGAACUAAUUGUCGGGGGGCUUUAAUGCUGGAGCUGAUUGGAGUCAGCGUUCCUUACACCUAGAAUCUGGGGACGUUCUGAUAUGCUCCAUCUGGGAUGACAAGAAGAGAAGAAUUCUGCUGGUAAACAAAUUAAUCUUUGCAAAGGUCACCAUUUGUUGUAAGUUUUUAUCCAGUGCUUGUCAUGUGGAAUAGGAGAUCGGCUGUCAUCUCACUAGGCAGGGGCCCCAACUCUGCUUCUCUACCGCUUAGAAAUCCCUGGAAACAGCUCAGUGCCUGCUUGCAAUGCCAUGGACGGCUGCAUUACAUCUGUCUCUGGACAGGAAGCGAGGGCCACCUCUGAAUUCCAAUAAGAUAGGCCCAUGCUUUUCUGCCUGGCCCUCUGCCCACGUGCAAAGCAUUAGGCAGAGUGAGCCAGAGGUAGUCCCCUCCCCCCAAAUCAUUCUACUAUCCUCUUCUCCCUCCCGUCUACUCCACUGCUGUCACCCGCUUCACCAAACAGAUGUUGCGUUUGCAAAAGUUCUGCAUGCAUUCUCUCUUCCACACCUGCCGCUUGUACUGUAUCUCUGUCAAGGUCCAAGGACCAAAGUACAAGAGAUUCUUGGGCUCCAUAACAACCAGUUAUUGGGCUGCUUCUGCAAGGUGGAAGAGGCCCUUGCAAAACUCCACACAUGCUGAAAGUGUCUUUUGUUACAAGGAGCAUAGGCGCCUUUAGCUGUGUGAUUGAGUAGUCAUUAUGGGAGGAAAUGAGGUGCAAAUGAUACAUUAACUUUCUGUUCAAUGGAUGGACAUGAGUGCAUAGCUGUCACACCACCACCCACAAUAUCAAAUAAGUAGAUUUAGUGGUAAGUGAGGCAGGACACAGUUGGGUAAUAGUUGAGAUAUUGUCUGAGUAUAUUUAGAGACUCCAGCUCACUUGUGUUGUGGCAUUGUUUUAUGUAUAUGUAUGGCUGUAGGCAAGUUAAUUGAUUGUAUGUUUUCUCAGAUGCCAAACUAAAAGAUCACAAGAGGCUCCACUGUUAAUAAUCUCGCUGUGUUACCUGCCUCGAACUGAAGGGAUCCCUCACCAGCUCAGCCCCCCUGAACAAGAAGGCUAUGCAGAAAGGAUCCUGGAGCUUUGAAGUGGAAACAUUUAGAGGCAGUAACAGUUCAUUUGGAAAGUGCUAAACAACAAGCAAGCAUCUGGCAUCCAACUGGAAUCACAUCAGGACGUGCAGGAGGAGCAUUAUCCAUAUCCUAUCAUUAGGAUCCAUUUUAUCUGCCUCCAGCCUGUGGAUACCUACGUUCCUGGAAGCUCUGGCAGAAAUGAUCAUUGACAAACUCAUGGUGACCGGUUGGCUAUUUAAAGUGGACAGUGAGUUUGGAGGUAAUGGCACUGCUUUUUGUGACAUUGCUAAAUACCUGCCAAGCUAUGCAUGGGCUGUGAGCGAGAACCAGAGAUAUGACCCUGAUAUUUGGAAACAGACAUGGGCACAGGCACCCGACACUGAUGUAUGGCUUGGGGUCCUGGCUGUUUGCCCGAGUCACUGAGACUGUCCCAAGCAGCUGUGGGGGGCCUCCAAUUGGUGGUCUUCCAGACAUCACUAAACUACAGUUCUCAGCAGCAGGGUUUAGAUGGAGGGGUGAACACAGACAUUCCUGCUCUCACUUAUCCAAGGAUAGAAGACCAUAUAACCCCUUAAAGUGGACCUGUCACCCAGGCAUAAAAGCUGUAUAAUAAAAGACCUUUUCAAAUUAAACA